UACGGGGGGAGCAAGCGUUGUUCGGAUUUACUGGGCGUAAAGGGCGCGUAGGCGGCCAGCACAGGUCAGUUGUGAAAUCUCCGGGCUUAACUCGGAAAGGUCAACUGAUACUGUGCGGCUAGAGUGCAGAAGGGGCAACUGGAAUUCUCGGUGUAGCGGUGAAAUGCGUAGAUAUCGUUUGGAACGCCAAUGGUGAAAACAGAUUGCUGGGAGUGUGCUGACGCUGAGACACGAAAGCCAGGGGAGCGAACGGG
RNAcentral lists this ribosomal RNA (254 nucleotides) under uncultured bacterium. Its description in RNAcentral is "partial 16S ribosomal RNA". It matches the Rfam family "Bacterial small subunit ribosomal RNA", at positions 524 to 776 of the family's 1533-position model. The record is from RNAcentral.